AGUAUUGUGGUGUAGUGGUUAGCACGCUAGGUUUGCACUACUGUGAUUGAGGGUUCAAGUCCCAUCUCCACUG
Pangasianodon gigas (Mekong giant catfish) is the source of this 73-nucleotide non-coding RNA. The record is from the annotation of a GenBank genome assembly. Lineage: Eukaryota; Metazoa; Chordata; Actinopteri; Siluriformes; Pangasiidae.